GAUUUUUGUACACCCCCGCCCGUCACGUCACGAAAGUUGGUAACACCCGAAGCCCGUGGCCUAACCUUUGUGGGGGGAGCGGUCGAAGGUGGGAUUGGCGAUUGGGACGAAGUCGUAACAAGGUAGCCGUACCGGAAGGUGCGGCUGGAUCACCUCCCUUUCUAAGGAGCUCCUGUUUUGCUUGUGAUCGUGGUGGUUAUGAGUGUUGUGGGGGUUUUUAGUGGUUGGCAACAUUGGAGUUGGCAUGCUGUUGGGGUGUGGGGUAACGCCUUGGCUGCCUGCGCGUGGGCCUGCUUGUGUGGUGGGUUUGUGUGUGGUGUUGGUGUGGUGGUUGAGAAUUGUAUAGUGGAUGCGAGCAUCUUUUGGUUUUUGUAAGUGUGUAAGGGCGUUCGGUGGAUGCCUUGGUACACGGAGCCGAUGAAGGACGUUGUAGCCUGCGAUAAGCCUCGGGGAGUUGGCAUACGAGCUGUGAUCCGAGGGUGUCCGAAUGGGGGAACCUGCCUGGAGUUGUUUCUGGGUACCGUCAUCUGAAUGUAUAGGUGAUG
Molecule: unclassified non-coding RNA, 545 nt
Filed under: Trueperella pyogenes
Lineage: Bacteria; Bacillati; Actinomycetota; Actinomycetes; Actinomycetales; Actinomycetaceae
Description: partial contains 16S ribosomal RNA, 16S-23S ribosomal RNA intergenic spacer and 23S ribosomal RNA
Rfam family: Bacterial small subunit ribosomal RNA (bases 1-160)
Source: RNAcentral